This is a non-coding RNA of Ameiurus melas (black bullhead), 76 nucleotides long. The record is from the annotation of a GenBank genome assembly. Lineage: Eukaryota; Metazoa; Chordata; Actinopteri; Siluriformes; Ictaluridae.
AAUGAGGUGGCCGAUUGGUUAAGGCGAUAGACUGCAUUGUGCUCUGCAUGCAUGGGUUCAAAUCCCAUCCUCAUCA